CGGGCUGUGGAAAGGAAAGCGUCUUGCCGCCGACAGCGGCACGAACCUCUGGCUCAGUGCCAGGCGGCCCGC
This 72-nucleotide transfer RNA is filed under the name Mycolicibacterium alvei. Its description in RNAcentral is "tRNA-Val". The record is from RNAcentral. Lineage: Bacteria; Bacillati; Actinomycetota; Actinomycetes; Mycobacteriales; Mycobacteriaceae.